CAGCCGUAAACUAUGCGCGUUAGGUGUAUCGGUGACCACGAGUCACCGAGGUGCCGAAGGGAAACCGUGAAACGUGCCGCCUGGGAAGUACGGUCGCAAGGCUGAGACUUAAAGGAAUUGGCGGGGGAGCACCACAACGGGUGGAGCCUGCGGUUUAAUUGGACUCAACGCCGGGAAGCUCACCGGAUAAGACAGCGGAAUGAUUGCCGGGCUGAAGACUCUGCAUGACUAGCUGAGAGGAGGUGCAUGGCGUAGACGUCU
This 261-nucleotide ribosomal RNA is filed under the name uncultured archaeon. RNAcentral's name for it is "partial 16S ribosomal RNA". It matches the Rfam family "Archaeal small subunit ribosomal RNA", at positions 748 to 1009 of the family's 1478-position model. The record is from RNAcentral.